AGGGGAUGUAGCUCAGUUGGCUAGAGCGCUUGACUGGCAGUCAAGAGGUCGUGGGUUCGAAUCCCAUCUUCUCC
This 74-nucleotide transfer RNA is filed under the name uncultured Flavobacteriia bacterium. Its description in RNAcentral is "tRNA-Ala". It matches the Rfam family "tRNA". From Rfam's summary of the family: Transfer RNA (tRNA) molecules are approximately 80 nucleotides in length. The record is from RNAcentral. Lineage: Bacteria; Pseudomonadati; Bacteroidota; Flavobacteriia.